Molecule: long non-coding RNA, 538 nt
Filed under: Panax ginseng (ginseng)
Lineage: Eukaryota; Viridiplantae; Streptophyta; Magnoliopsida; Apiales; Araliaceae
Description: long non-coding RNA (PGIN_LNC013210)
Source: RNAcentral
GUGCUUGCUAUGAGCAGUGUAACCCCGUAGGUUGACUGUAUGAAUGUCCCAUCAACUACAAUGAUUGGGAAACAAUGUUGCCAUGCCUCAAUGGAUGCUCAUAUUGCGAAGAAGAGAUAUUUGAAGCGACCAUUUUUUUCCAACUCCAAGGAUGUGAUGAAUCCUGAAAUGAAUUUUAAAGUAAGGUUAAUGUAAUUAUAUGUAAUAAAUAUUGUCUAAAUUUGUAGUUAGGAUUACUAUGUGUAUUACUUUUGCUAUAUAAUUACUUAUAUUUUAAUAUUUUUUAUAGUGUUCAGAUGGUAUCUAAAAUGCUAUUUAAUAGUUUCAUUUCAUGUAGAUUUUUGUCUGCUGCAAAAAUCAUAUUUAGUUUUAUUUCAUUAAAAUAGGUAGUAGCCAUACAUGUGUUUGUAAGUAUCUAAAUUACAUAAUUUGAGUAACCAAAAUAUUUGAAACAUUUAAUAAAUAGUUUCCAAUUGUUACCUGGAUUUGUUUUUUUGCAACAUGUGCAACCAAGAAAGGAUUAGAGUGUAGUCGUGUG